Molecule: long non-coding RNA, 335 nt
Organism: Xenia sp. Carnegie-2017
Lineage: Eukaryota; Metazoa; Cnidaria; Anthozoa; Malacalcyonacea; Xeniidae
Exons: 3
Source: RefSeq, a predicted model, not a curated record
UCCCAGACAUAAGUCAAAAGCGCGCUGUAUCAUCAAAAAAGAACGCACUUGAAGAGCCAGUUGAGCAAGAAUUGUUGUAUGAGAGUGAAACAGAAGAAAUCCAGGCAUCACAAGAAAGAACUGAAGUACCGCCAAUCAACAACUUGGAACAACAAGAAAGCACCUACACUGAUACUUGCAAACAGUCGACAUACAAUUCAUUGUUUCUAACUCCAAGACAUCGAAUAAAUGCAUUUACAGAAAGACAGUGUCUUGGGGAUACUGUGCUGAAAUUUGGUCCUGUGAAUGUAUCAACAGUAGAUCUUUGGUCACUUGUCAGUCCAAAAGACAUAACU